AACGAACGCUGGCGGCAGGCCUCAUACAUGCAAGUCGAGCGAUUAAGACUCCUUCGGGAGUGUAUAAAGCGGCGAACGGGUGAGUAACAGGUGGAUGAUCUACCUUCCGGUGGGGGAUAACGGCUGGAAACGGCCGCUAAUACCGCAUUCGGUUAAUACGCUGUGGCGUAUUAAAGAAAGGCGCCUCAAAGCGCCGCCGGGAGAUGAGUCCGCCCCCCAUUAGCUAGUUGGUGAGAUAACAGCUCACCAAGGCAACGAUGGGUAGCCGAACUGAGAGGUUGAUCGGCCACACUGGAACUGAGACACGGUCCAGACACCUACGGGUGGCAGCAGUAGGGAAUAUUGGGCAAUGGGCGAAAGCCUGACCCAGCCAUGCCGCGUGAGUGAUGAAGGCCCUAGAGAUUGUAAAACUCUUUUCUGAGGAAAGAAUGAAUAGGGAAGGAAAUGUCCUUAUUUGACGGUACCUCAGGAAUAAGGAACGGCUAACUCCGUGCCAGCAGCCGCGGU
RNAcentral lists this ribosomal RNA (507 nucleotides) under uncultured bacterium. RNAcentral's name for it is "bacterial SSU rRNA". It matches the Rfam family "Bacterial small subunit ribosomal RNA", at positions 29 to 521 of the family's 1533-position model. The record is from RNAcentral.